CUGAGCUUCCACUCAUCUUGAAGGACUGGGUAGAUCUGCCCUUGGGACACAUCUGGAAAUAGGGAGGCUUUGAUUUUCUUCUCUGGAUGCUGUGCAGGGUGAAGCAGCAUGGAUCAUGGACAGGUUACCUGCCCCAUGCAGAGCUUCUCUGACACCUUCUGCUGACCAAGGAAAAGAGGAAUCAUCUUCCCUCCACAGAACUCUUCCAUUUGGUAAUCCUGAUUAUUGGGAAGGGUACCAAUAGUGUUAGCCUUUUUUUCCAGCCUUUCAUGCUUAAUUAUUAAAAUGUCUUGAGCCGCACUGAAUAAUUAAUACAGACUUUGUUUAUGUCAUGAGGGAGAGAAGUUGUUGCCUUGGAAUGAUGGUGUAUAACUUCCACUGGGUAAGGAGAACAUUUCUGAGCCUCAUCAGUUUCACAAAGCAGAUAGAGGCAGCUGUUGUUUCUGCUCCUACUCUGGUUUGCACCAGAACUACCAUGCUGAAGGAAAAGGUAUAAGCAAUGGCAAAGUCUUCUUCUCAUCCUAAUGAAAAACAGCCUCAAGUGAUCCUUCACAGUAGAAGGUAGAGAGGAGUUUUAUAAAGCCAGGAAUUUCUUCUUUGUUGUCACUUCUUUCAAAACAAUUUCUAUUUUGGAAGGAAGAUUAAUACUGACUGCAGUAUCUAUUUGACUCCGUGGAGACAGAAGCCAUUCUGAUGUGCCAGCCCUAUGUGCUGAUGAACAAUCAGCUUUGCUACCCCAGUUACAGCAAAGAAGACCUUGCAGGAGGAGGAAAAAGGUCCAGUGAGUUUUACCAAGCCAGAGAGACCUCUAGAACACUGGUGGUUGUUUUUUCUCCUGAAAAAAGAGACUUGACUGGUGCCCCAAGCAGAAAGGACCCUGAGUCAGCUUCAUGAUUAAAUGUAACACAAAGAUUUUGAAAUAUGGCAAUAGGUUCACCUUAAAAAGCACAAAAGCCAGGAAUGGAUUCUUGAGAUGAAAUUUUUCAGACCUUUGCCUUUGCAAUGCCAUCUUUGUAAGCUCUGCAAACAGCUCAGCCAAGUUACUGGUGAUAAGUAGUAAAACCUGUUGAUAAGUUCUUUAUUCCCCAAAGCUUUGCUCUAUCCAAGAAAAGCAUACAUUGAUCAGGAGAUUAAUGAUAUUUAAUAUGUGAAAGACGGAUUUGAAUGGGUGUGGUUGUUGGGGCAAUAUUUGUGAUUAUCCCAGCAGUACA
RNAcentral lists this long non-coding RNA (1211 nucleotides) under Cyanistes caeruleus (blue tit). RNAcentral describes it as "lncRNA (ENSCCEG00000019293.1)". Lineage: Eukaryota; Metazoa; Chordata; Aves; Passeriformes; Paridae. The record is from RNAcentral.